Molecule: ribosomal RNA, 403 nt
Filed under: uncultured bacterium
Lineage: Bacteria
Description: bacterial SSU rRNA
Rfam family: Bacterial small subunit ribosomal RNA
Source: RNAcentral
UGGGGAAUCUUCCGCAAUGGACGAAAGUCUGACGGAGCAACGCCGCGUGGGUGACGAAGGUUUUCGGAUCGUAAAACCCUGUCAAGAAGGAAGAAAAAAGACGGUACUUCUGAAGGAAGCCCCGGCUAACUACGUGCCAGCAGCCGCGGUAAUACGGAGGAUCCGAGCGUUAUCCGGAUUUAUUGGGUUUAAAGGGUGCGUAGGUGGUCUUUUAAGUCAGCGGUGAAAGUUUGUGGCUCAACCAUAAAAAUGCCGUUGAAACUGUAAGACUUGAGUGCGUUUGAGGUAGGCGGAAUGCGUGGUGUAGCGGUGAAAUGCUUAGAUAUUAGGAGGAACACCAGUGGCGAAGGCGGCUUACUGGACUGUAACUGACGUUGAGGCUCGAAAGCGUGGGGAGCAAACA